CGGGAGCCCGGGCGGCCGGCUUGAACUCCGUGCACGCGGGCCUGGAGCUGCGCCCCUGCGUCUUUUCCCGACUUCUGAUCCGCAGAGGGACACUCGGAGCCCCAGCCUGGGUCGCAGUGCCUUCGGUGGCGCCUGGACUCUCGCCCUCAGAGGGAGGCCCGUCCCACGGUCUCUGGCUACGGAUCCCAGGACCCUCUUCGCGGGCGAUUCGCGUAGCCUCAGUCAGGGCCGGGACCUGAAGCUGUGCCUGUGGGACCUCGCGGAGGGCAGGAGCGCUGUCGUAGACUCCGUGUGCUUGGAGAGUGUGGGCUUCUGCCGGAGCAGCAUCCUGGCCGGGGGCCAGCCACGCUGGACGCUUGCCGUGCCAGGGAAGGGCAGUGACGAGGUUCAGAUUCUGGAGAUGCCAUCCAAGACGUCAGUGUGCGCCCUGAAGCCGAAGGCAGAUGCCAAGCUGGGCAUGCCCAUGUGCCUGCGGCUGUGGCAGGCCGACUGCAGCUCCCGCCCACUCCUUCUGGCCGGCUAUGAGGAUGGAUCGGUGGUCCUGUGGGACGUCUCUGAGCAGAAGGUGUGCAGCCGCAUCGCCUGCCAUGAGGAGCCCGUCAUGGACCUUGACUUUGACUCCCAGAAGGCCAGGGGCAUCUCAGGCUCCGCGGGGAAGGCGCUGGCUGUCUGGAGCCUGGACGGGCAGCAGGCCCUGCAGGUGCGUGGGACUCAUGAACUCACCAAUCCCGGGAUCGCCGAGGUCACGAUCCGGCCAGACCGCAAGAUCCUGGCCACCGCAGGCUGGGACCACCGCAUCCGCGUGUUCCACUGGCGGACGAUGCAGCCGCUGGCCGUGCUGGCCUUCCACAGUGCCGCUGUCCAGUGCGUGGCCUUCACCGCCGAUGGCUUGCUGGCCGCGGGCUCCAAGGAUCAGCGGAUCAGCCUCUGGUCACUCUACCCACGCGCAUGACUCACCCACUCCCUUCCCGGGAGACGAGGAGGGCGGGCAGGGAGGUGGGCAUCAGGCCCCAGCCUCGGCCUGAAACCUCAAGGGCCUCUGAGGACCAGCAAGUCAUGGCCCAAGGACCAUGGAGUCCCCGCUGUCUUCACGAGGUUGGUAUUUCCUUUUGUGGAGUGCCUCAUCACAGGACGGUGACUCUGGGGGCCAGCCAGAGCCCUGGCCGUCCGAGGCCCGCAGGAGACGUUGGCUUGGGC
RNAcentral lists this small RNA (1197 nucleotides) under Pan troglodytes (chimpanzee). RNAcentral's name for it is "processed transcript". Lineage: Eukaryota; Metazoa; Chordata; Mammalia; Primates; Hominidae. The record is from RNAcentral.